Cephalotrichum gorgonifer is the source of this 84-nucleotide non-coding RNA. Lineage: Eukaryota; Fungi; Ascomycota; Sordariomycetes; Microascales; Microascaceae. The record is from the annotation of a GenBank genome assembly.
GGGCGGCUGGCGCAAUGGUAGCGCGUUGCUCUCCUAUAAGGAGUUGCAAAGCAAAGGUUGCAGGUUCGAGUCCUGCGUUGCUCG